This is a non-coding RNA of Danionella cerebrum, 73 nucleotides long. The record is from the annotation of a GenBank genome assembly. NCBI's taxonomy places the organism in Eukaryota, Metazoa, Chordata, Actinopteri, Cypriniformes, Danionidae.
GGGGCUAUGGUUUAAUGGUUAGCACUCUGGACUAUGAAUCCGGUGAUCCAAGGUCAAACCUCUCCUGGUCCUC